This 755-nucleotide long non-coding RNA is filed under the name Eucalyptus grandis. RNAcentral's name for it is "long non-coding RNA (EGRA_LNC004783)". Lineage: Eukaryota; Viridiplantae; Streptophyta; Magnoliopsida; Myrtales; Myrtaceae. The record is from RNAcentral.
UCACAGCCAAGCUAUAUCAAGUUCAAUCUCGUUUUGAUGCUCAUAAAAGACCAUUCCACCAAAGUUUGAGGAAGAGAGUCUUCAACCUAAUUUAAUUCAAAAUAAGCGGAAACAAUACGAGAAAUGCUCAUGUAUCAGAAGUUUAGUUAAGUUGAGAAAUUAUGGAUAUAUAAAAGAAGUUAUGUUAAGAAAUGGCCAUCAACCAAGUAAUAAUCAAAGGGAAUUUAAGACUUAUGAAUAGAAGAUAUGCAGAGGAAAAAGAUAUGUUGAAAUAAUGCUCAAACCCUACCAAAAUUACUGGUGAUUUCCCUUUGAGUAUUGUUGUAACGUCAAUGUCAAUGUCUCCAUUCAAGCAUCAUUUGUACAAACUGUGAUUAAUUUCAAUUCCAGCAAUGUUAAUGUCUCCUAAUCUUGUUUUCAGUUAAUUUUGUUUGGCUCAUUCCUUUGAGUUUAGCGUUCUUUGCUUUGAUUUCCUUUACCCCCUGCAUUGCACCUUUAAAUAAUUCACAGUACUUCCACUUUAAUUUCUGAGCAAUUUGCUAUUCCUGUCAUUUAGAUCGAUUUCCAUCAAACCAUUUUAUCCAUUGCUUGCAGGAGCUAGCAUGCAUACAUGCACACAAUCAAAGCCAUCUUUGGAAAAAUUGUUUGUGAGCAGUUUAAUCACUUUAGAGCCAAGCUCGAAUCAGAAAGUAAGCUUGUAAUUUGUUUUCCCAAUUGCUUGACAGUCUGAUCAACUUACAUUGAGCGAAUUUGCU